RNAcentral lists this small RNA (311 nucleotides) under Vigna angularis var. angularis. RNAcentral's name for it is "Non-protein coding transcript". The record is from RNAcentral. Lineage: Eukaryota; Viridiplantae; Streptophyta; Magnoliopsida; Fabales; Fabaceae.
AAGAAUUUCCUGCUCAUGUGAGUGAUAAUGACCUGGAGAUCCGUUUCUACUGGGCAGGCAAAGGGACGACCUAUAUCCCAUAUAAAUCAGUAAAUGGUCCUCUUAUAUCUGCCAUUUCUGUCACAUAUGAUGGGUUUUCAUAUUCUGCAGGUGGAACCAGAACAAAAGAAGACUCGACAGGUGGCAUGUCUGCAGGAGAGAUUGUUAUAAUUGCAGUUGCACUGGUGAUUGUUGUCAUCUUGAUUACUGUUAGCGUACUUCGUUGGAGGGUUUUCAUUAGUGGUUGUUGUCAUCUUGGUUGGCAUUCUUUG